AUCAAGGCCACCCACUGGAACCAUGGGCCCUCAGAGUCUGCAAGGGCAGCACUCCAACUCUGUGGCAUAACCUCGAAGCCAUAUGCUCACGACAAGCAGCAGCACUUCUGGGAACAGGCUGCAGAGACAACUUGAGUUCUUCCUUAAUUUCUCUCAACUCCAGUGACCCUUCAUGAGAAGAACAUGUCUGCGGUAGCCACUGGUCCAAGGAGAAUGAGGAAAUAUGUAGAGCAGCUUUGAACCUAAUCAGCAGUCUGAAGUCAAGCCCAGUGGAUUCCAGCC
This 282-nucleotide long non-coding RNA is filed under the name Pan troglodytes (chimpanzee). RNAcentral describes it as "long non-coding RNA NONPTRT002788". The record is from RNAcentral. Lineage: Eukaryota; Metazoa; Chordata; Mammalia; Primates; Hominidae.